Molecule: ribosomal RNA, 440 nt
Filed under: uncultured bacterium
Lineage: Bacteria
Description: partial 16S ribosomal RNA
Rfam family: Bacterial small subunit ribosomal RNA
Source: RNAcentral
CCUACGGGUGACAGCAGUGGGGAAUUUUGCACAAUGGGGGAAACCCUGAUGCAGCGACGCCGCGUGAAGGAAGAAGUAUUUCGGUUUGUAAACUUCUAUCAGCAGGGAAGAAAAUGACGGUACCUGACUAAGAAGCCCCGGCUAACUACGUGCCAGCAGCCGCGGUAAUACGUAGGGGGCAAGCGUUAGCCGGAUUUACUGGGUGGAAAGGGAGCGGAGGCGGUUUAGCAAGUCAGAAGUGAAAGCCCGGGGCUCAACUCCGGGACUGCUUUUGAAACUGUUGAACUAGAGUGCAGGAGAGGUAAGUGGAAUUCCUAGUGUAGCGGUGAAAUGCGUAGAUAUGAGGAAGAACACCAGUGGCGAAGGCGGCUUACUGGACUGUAAAUGACGCUGAGGCUCGAAAGCGUGGGGAGCAAACAGGAUUAGAUACCCGUGUAGUC